CCCUUAGAUGUUCUGGGCCGCACGCGCGCUACACUGAUGCAUUCAACGAGUCUAAAACCUGGUCUGAUAGGGCUGGGUAAUCUUUUGAAUGUGCAUCGUGAUUGGGAUAGAUGAUUGCAAUUCUUCAUCUUCAACGAGGAAUGCCUAGUAAACGCAAGUCAUCAGCUUGCAUUGAUUACGUCCCUGCCCUUUGUACACACCGCCCGUCGCUCCUACCGAUUGAAUGUUCCGAUGAAUAUCAUGGACUGAGAGUAUGAAUGGGUUCGCCUAUUUCUGCUUCUCGGGAAGUGGAGUAAAUCUUAACAUUUAGAGGAAGGAGAAGUCGUAACA
This 330-nucleotide ribosomal RNA is filed under the name uncultured eukaryote. Its description in RNAcentral is "partial 18S ribosomal RNA". It matches the Rfam family "Eukaryotic small subunit ribosomal RNA", at positions 1470 to 1796 of the family's 1831-position model. The record is from RNAcentral.